This 316-nucleotide ribosomal RNA is filed under the name uncultured bacterium. Its description in RNAcentral is "bacterial SSU rRNA". It matches the Rfam family "Bacterial small subunit ribosomal RNA", at positions 456 to 769 of the family's 1533-position model. The record is from RNAcentral.
AAUACGAGCUGCUGUUGACGUGAACCCAAGAAGAAGCACCGGCUAACUCCGUGCCAGCAGCCGCGGUAAUACGGGGGGUGCAAGCGUUAAUCGGAAUCACUGGGCGUAAAGGGUGCGUAGGCGGUACGUUAGGUCUGUCGUGAAAUCCCCGGGCUCAACCUGGGAAUGGCGGUAGAAACCGGCGAACUAGAGUAUGGGAGAGGGUGGUGGAAUUCCAGGUGUAGCGGUGAAAUGACGUAGAGAUCUGGAGGAACAUCAGUGGCGAAGGCGGCACCUGGCCCAAUACUGUACGCUGAGGCACGAAAGCGUGGGGAGC